CCUACGGGUGGCUGCAGUGAGGAAUAUUGGUCAAUGGGCGAAAGCCUGAACCAGCCAAGUCGCGUGAGGGAGUACUGCCCUAUGGGUUGUAAACCUCUUUUGUCGGGGAGCAAAAGCCGGACGUGUCCGGCUGUUCGAGUACCCCAAGAAAAAACAUAGGCUAACUCCGUGCCAGCAGCCGCGGUGAUACGGAGGAUGCGAGCGUUAUCCGGAUUUAUUGGGUUUAAAGGGUGCGCAGGCGGAUUUUUAAGUCAGCGGUAAAAUCGUGGGGCUCAACCCCAUCCAGCCGUUGAAACUGGGGAUCUAGAGUGGGCGAGAGGUAUGCGGAAUGCGUGGUGUAGCGGUGAAAUGCAUAGAUAUCACGCAGAACCCCGAUUGCGAAGGCAGCAUACCGGUGCACAACUGACGCUCAGGCACGAAAGCGUGGGUAUCGAACAGGAUUAGAUACCCUAGUAGUC
This 458-nucleotide ribosomal RNA is filed under the name uncultured bacterium. RNAcentral's name for it is "partial 16S ribosomal RNA". It matches the Rfam family "Bacterial small subunit ribosomal RNA", at positions 338 to 795 of the family's 1533-position model. The record is from RNAcentral.